RNAcentral lists this ribosomal RNA (497 nucleotides) under uncultured bacterium. RNAcentral's name for it is "partial 16S ribosomal RNA". It matches the Rfam family "Bacterial small subunit ribosomal RNA", at positions 28 to 507 of the family's 1533-position model. The record is from RNAcentral.
GAUGAACGCUGGCGGCGUGCCUAAUACAUGCAAGUCGAGCGAACGGACGAGAAGCUUGCUUCUCUGAUGUUAGCGGCGGACGGGUGAGUAACACGUGGAUAACCUACCUAUAAGACUGGGAUAACUUCGGGAAACCGGAGCUAAUACCGGAUGAUAUUUUGAACCGCAUGGUUCAAAAGUGAAAGACGGUCUUGCUGUCACUUAUAGAUGGAUCCGCGCUGCAUUAGCUAGUUGGUAAGGUAACGGCUUACCAAGGCAACGAUGCAUAGCCGACCUGAGAGGGUGAUCGGCCACACUGGAACUGAGACACGGUCCAGACUCCUACGGGAGGCAGCAGUAGGGAAUCUUCCGCAAUGGGCGAAAGCCUGACGGAGCAACGCCGCGUGAGUGAUGAAGGUCUUCGGAUCGUAAAACUCUGUUAUUAGGGAAGAACAUAUGUGUAAGUAACUGUGCACAUCUUGACGGUACCUAAUCAGAAAGCCACUGCUAACUACGUG